This 524-nucleotide ribosomal RNA is filed under the name uncultured bacterium. Its description in RNAcentral is "partial 16S ribosomal RNA". It matches the Rfam family "Bacterial small subunit ribosomal RNA", at positions 28 to 523 of the family's 1533-position model. The record is from RNAcentral.
GACGAACGCUGGCGGCGUGCCUAAUACAUGCAAGUCGAACGAAGCUGUUUUAACUGGUGCUUGCACCGACUUAAACAACUGAGUGGCGAACGGGUGAGUAACACGUGGGUAACCUGCCCCAAAGCGGGGGAUAACAUUUGGAAAUAGAUGCUAAUACCGCAUAACCACAGAAACCACAUGGUUUCUGUGUCAAAGAUGGUUUCGGCUAUCACUUUGGGAUGGACCCGCGGCGUAUUAGCUAGUUGGUAAGGUAAUGGCUUACCAAGGCAAUGAUACGUAGCCGAACUGAGAGGUUGAUCGGCCACAUGGGGACUGAGACACGGCCCAAACUCCUACGCGAGGCAGCAGUAGGGAAUCUUCCACAAUGGACGAAAGUCUGAUGGAGCAACGCCGCGUGAGUGAAGAAGGUUUUCGGAUCGUAAAACUCUGUUGUCAGAGAAGAACGUGUGCGAGAGUAACUGCUCGUGCAGUGACGGUAUCUGGCCAGAAAGCCACGGCUAACUACGUGCCAGCCGCCGCGGUAA